RNAcentral lists this long non-coding RNA (473 nucleotides) under Dromaius novaehollandiae (emu). RNAcentral's name for it is "lncRNA (ENSDNVG00000011466.1)". The record is from RNAcentral. Lineage: Eukaryota; Metazoa; Chordata; Aves; Casuariiformes; Dromaiidae.
CCACGCGUUGCCGCUGCUGUUUCAGGGCAUGGCUGACACAGCCACGGAGUAGCACUGCUGGGCACCGUGCCAGCCGGGUGGGAGCCCCAUCUCGCCCGUCUCCAGCCCACUUCUAAUCGUCAUCCAAGCCCUAAGAAACAUGGCAAGUUUUGGAAACCGAGGAAGAUGUUUUGAGAAGGGCAGGAUCUCACACUGCAGCUCUCUAGCAACCCGUCAGAGUGCCCAUUGGAUGAUCUUCACGGUUUCGCUAUGAAGGAGCCCCAGCGUCCUCAGCUGAUGUGAUGCUGCAAAGGCCCAGCUGCCACGCCGGCUCGCUCUGCCCCGUCUGCCAAACCCUCCCCGAGCCGCCGGCCUCGCUCAGGACGGACCGAAAGGCAGAGAAACGAGACCGUGAAGGUACCACGCUGGAGGCGAAGGGCUUGGUGUGCCAAAGAACCAAGGGCAGGAUACGAACGUCUGUAAGGCACAAUUAG